This 345-nucleotide ribosomal RNA is filed under the name Triticum aestivum (bread wheat). RNAcentral describes it as "partial small subunit ribosomal RNA". Lineage: Eukaryota; Viridiplantae; Streptophyta; Magnoliopsida; Poales; Poaceae. The record is from RNAcentral.
AUGGUUACCGACUUCUUUGCUUUGGAGCUACAUCUGAGAACAACAGGUCAUGUUUUUGGAGAAUUUGUGCUGCAUCUUCUUGGAUUGAAUCGGAUCCGCAGUGUUAUACGAAGACUUAAGGUCGUUCGGGUCCGACAGAGAUCAUGGGGGGAAGAAGCAUGCCCUGCAAAUUGUCCUUGUGAGACUACGAACUGGAGGACCCAAAUUAUCUCCUUGACUGCCCUUGAAGAUUUAGAAAUCGAUGGCUUCCAAGCAGAAGAUCAUGAGCUUGAUUUCUUGAAACUGAUAUUCCGUUCUGCACCAAUGCUUAAAACAGCGAUUGUGAAGCUGUCAGAUCAGAUCUAG